This is a non-coding RNA of Araneus ventricosus, 75 nucleotides long. NCBI's taxonomy places the organism in Eukaryota, Metazoa, Arthropoda, Arachnida, Araneae, Araneidae. The record is from the annotation of a GenBank genome assembly.
UCUUUUGCGGCGUAGUGGUUAGCGUUCCUGCCUGGCAACUAGAGGGAUACGCGUUCGAAUCGCGGACCGGAUGAG